This is a long non-coding RNA of Betta splendens (Siamese fighting fish), 1368 nucleotides long. RefSeq lists it as uncharacterized. The record is from RefSeq and is a predicted model, not a curated record. Lineage: Eukaryota; Metazoa; Chordata; Actinopteri; Anabantiformes; Osphronemidae. The transcript is spliced from 3 exons.
CAAUCAUUCUGACCCACCAGGUACACUCCCUGACUGCUGAAGGCUGAAGUGUGGUACCGGCCUCCUCGACCAAAAGCCCUGAAGACAGGUGUGGAAAUCACUCCUCUAGGACGACUACAGCAGACAGAGAUCCAAAUAGAGACCACCUGGACAGGGAAGCCUCCUCUUCCUCGGCUGCGUCGAGUUCCAGCCCACUGACCCACCACAGUGCCAGCAAUCUCCAGCUUCCCACCCUGUGAUGGGAUGCCCUGAACUCCUUACAGGAAGAAAAAGAUUUGUGUCAACAUCAAAGACCCCCUCCUGGACGCCCUGCAGUUCGCCCAGAGCCAACAGAUCAGUAAACGAUGUUGUAAACAUGGCACUCAACUUCAUCCUCCAGCAUCUGGACUUUCCAGGAUCCUACACCAGGAUCCUGUUUGUAGACUUCAGCUCUGCCUUCAACACAAUGGUUCCAUCCCUGCUCCAUGACAAACUCUCCCAGCUGAAUGUGCCUGACUCCAUCUGCAGGUGGAUCACCGACUUCCUCACUCACAGACAGCAGUAUGUGAGGCUGGGGAAGCUUGUCUCUGAUUCCCAGACCUUCACCCCCCUAUCCCCUAAGGCUGUGUCCUUUCUUCCCCAUCCUCAGUGACACCCCAGUGACCUCUGUUGAGUCCUUCCACUUCCUGGGCACCAUCAUCUCCCGUCUCUCCAGGAGCUGCACAUCUCCAGGACCCGGAGACGGGCUGCCAGGAUUGUAGCCGACCCCUCUCAUUCAGGACAUUAACACUUUCAGUUCCUCCCCCGGUCCAUCAGGACUGGGACCUCACGUCACUUUACAAGUCACACCAUCCUACACCACCUGCACACCCACUUCACUCCACUGUAUAUAGUCUGUUCAUAACGUAAUUUGAAUUCAUCCCUCACUGCACUAUUCAAUUAUUCAUACUAUGUAAUGUUGUACUGUUCUGCAAAAAAAAAAAAAAGUUAGCGCCGGGCAACCUGGCUGCUGAUGGGAAUUUCCCCGCUGUGGGACUAAUAAAGGCAUUCUUAACUUCUUUAUGCAGAGAGGAACGACCCACCAACACCAAGUCAAAUUCCUAGUUCUGUAAAGUGUUCUCUACAGGACCCAGCUUAAAGUAAAUAAAGCUUUUCUGAUUCUGAAAUGAACUGCUUAGACAUAUUUUAGACACACAAGAUAAUACAAAUCAGUUUAAAGUGAAUACUCACGGUGAAUAUUCACUACUCACAGUGUGUAAAUGUCACAGUGUACAGAGACAACAGGAGGAGGCUCUGAUGAAGGGCUUAGCAAACUCUUGUUCGACUACUUUUGCACUGAAGCCUCUAUUUACGGUGUAGGUGUGUGGGUCUUGUGGAUGAAGCUACCUG